GGGGUUUAAGUUGAUUAAGAUACAACUUGAGUGCUUUGAGAAAUGACUUAAAGUAACCUAAGAUUAAAUUCCUUCAAAGUAUAAUUCCCAAAUUACUGAAUUGGUUUGAUAGAUUUAUGAUUCAUUGAAAUGUGAUCUCCUAAUUCUGGAAUGCUUUUAUUAUUUGACAUCUUCAAUUUAGUUAAUAUGCUUUUAUUUACUUUCUAGCUAUAAUUAGUUUAAGUUACAAUUCUCUAUUCGAAUUUAGUAGUCAAGAUAAUUACAAUUGCUAUGCUAUUUGGUAUUCAAACCAAAUUUCUCGUAAGAACAAUACUUUACUCACUACUUUAUUAC
Molecule: unclassified non-coding RNA, 333 nt
Filed under: Hevea brasiliensis (rubber tree)
Lineage: Eukaryota; Viridiplantae; Streptophyta; Magnoliopsida; Malpighiales; Euphorbiaceae
Source: RNAcentral